RNAcentral lists this unclassified non-coding RNA (225 nucleotides) under plant metagenome. RNAcentral's name for it is "partial contains small subunit ribosomal RNA, internal transcribed spacer 1, and 5.8S ribosomal RNA". The record is from RNAcentral.
UCUCCGUUGGUGAACCAGCGGAGGGAUCAUUACCGAGUUAACAACUCCCAAACCCCUGUGAACAUACCACAACGUUGCCUCGGCGGGACCGCCCCGGCGCCCCUAGCGGCCCGGAACCAGGCGCCCGCCGGAGGACCCAAACUCUUGCUUUGAACAGUGGCAUACUCUCUGAGUCUCAAAAACAAAAAUAAAUUAAAACUUUCAACAACGGAUCUCUUGGCUCUG